This 576-nucleotide ribosomal RNA is filed under the name uncultured bacterium. RNAcentral's name for it is "bacterial SSU rRNA". It matches the Rfam family "Bacterial small subunit ribosomal RNA", at positions 341 to 916 of the family's 1533-position model. The record is from RNAcentral.
ACGGGAAGGCAGCAGUGAGGAAUAUUGGACAAUGGACGAAAGUCUGAUCCAGCCAUGCCGCGUGCAGGAUGACAGCCCUCUGGGUUGUAAACUGCUUUUAUAUGAGAAGAAACCCUCAGAUGCGUUUGAGGCUGACGGUAUCAUAUGAAUAAGGAUCGGCUAACUUCGUGCCAGCAGCCGCGGUAAGACGAAGGAUCCAAGCGUUGUCCGGAUUUACUGGGUUUAAAGGAUGCGUAGGCGGACACUUAAGCCAGUGGUGAAAUCCCAUAGCUCAACUAUGGAACUGCCAUUGGAACUGUGUGUCUUGAAUUCGGUUGAGGUAGAUGGAAUAUAACAUGUAGCGGUGAAAUGCUUAGAUAUGUUAUAGAACACCGAUUGCGAAGGCAGUCUACUAAGCCGACAUUGACGCUGAGGCAUGAAAGCGUGGGGAGCGAACAGGAUUAGAUACCCUGGUAGUCCACGCCCUAAACGUUGAUUACUCGCUGUUAGCGAUACACUGUUAGCGGCUAAGCGAAAGCGUUAAGUAAUCCACCUGGGAAGUACGACCGCAAGGUUGAAACUUAAAUGAAUUGACGG